CAACUCGACUGCACGAAGCUGGAAUCGCUAGUAAUCGCGGAUCAGCACGCCGCGGUGAAUACGUUCCGGGCCUUGUACACACCGCCCGUCACACCAUGGAAGUCUGCAAUGCCCGAAGCCGGUGGCCUAACCACUUAUGUGGAAGGAGCCGUCUAAGGCAGGGCAGAUGACUGGGGUGAAGUCGUAACAAGGUACC
This 196-nucleotide ribosomal RNA is filed under the name uncultured bacterium. Its description in RNAcentral is "partial 16S ribosomal RNA". It matches the Rfam family "Bacterial small subunit ribosomal RNA", at positions 1308 to 1500 of the family's 1533-position model. The record is from RNAcentral.